This 877-nucleotide ribosomal RNA is filed under the name uncultured Staphylococcus sp. RNAcentral describes it as "bacterial SSU rRNA". It matches the Rfam family "Bacterial small subunit ribosomal RNA", at positions 28 to 886 of the family's 1533-position model. Lineage: Bacteria; Bacillati; Bacillota; Bacilli; Caryophanales; Staphylococcaceae. The record is from RNAcentral.
GAUGGACGCUGGCGGCGUGCCUAAUACAUGCAAGUCGAGCGAACGGAUGAGAAGCUUGCUUCUCUGAUGUUAGCGGCGGACGGGUGAGUAACACGUGGAUAACCUACCUAUAAGACUGGGAUAACUUCGGGAAACCGGAGCUAAUACCGGAUAAUAUUUUGAACCGCAUGGUUCAAAAGUGAAAGACGGUCUUGCUGUCACUUAUAGAUGGAUCCGCGCUGCAUUAGCUAGUUGGUAAGGUAACGGCUUACCAAGGCAACGAUGCAUAGCCGACCUGAGAGGGUGAUCGGCCACACUGGAACUGAGACACGGUCCAGACUCCUACGGGAGGCAGCAGUAGGGAAUCUUCCGCAAUGGGCGAAAGCCUGACGGAGCAACGCCGCGUGAGUGAUGAAGGUCUUCGGAUCGUAAAACUCUGUUAUUAGGGAAGAACAUAUGUGUAAGUAACUGUGCACAUCUUGACGGUACCUAAUCAGAAAGCCACGGCUAACUACGUGCCAGCAGCCGCGGUAAUACGUAGGUGGCAAGCGUUAUCCGGAAUUAUUGGGCGUAAAGCGCGCGUAGGCGGUUUUUUAAGUCUGAUGUGAAAGCCCACGGCUCAACCGUGGAGGGUCAUUGGAAACUGGAAAACUUGAGUGCAGAAGAGGAAAGUGGAAUUCCAUGUGUAGCGGUGAAAUGCGCAGAGAUAUGGAGGAACACCAGUGGCGAAGGCGACUUUCUGGUCUGUAACUGACGCUGAUGUGCGAAAGCGUGGGGAUCAAACAGGAUUAGAUACCCUGGUAGUCCACGCCGUAAACGAUGAGUGCUAAGUGUUAGGGGGUUAGGGCCCCUUAGUGCUGCAGCUAACGCAUUAAGCACUCCGCCUGGGGAGUACGAC